UUUAAGUGCAACCAUGAAUUUCUGUACCCAACUUUGAUCGUCUGUCUUAUUUUUAUUGUAAUUAGUAUUUUUAUUGUUAUGAAAUGAUAAAUCAUGAAUAGUAUUUUAUACGUGACUUAUGUUUUAAAACUUUUAAAUUUUUUUAAUAAGACAGACAAUCAAAAUUAUGCACAUAAAAUCAUGAUUGUACUUAGA
This is a non-coding RNA of Oryza meridionalis, 195 nucleotides long. Lineage: Eukaryota; Viridiplantae; Streptophyta; Magnoliopsida; Poales; Poaceae. The record is from Rfam.